This 31-nucleotide non-coding RNA is filed under the name Mus musculus (house mouse). The record is from RNAcentral. Lineage: Eukaryota; Metazoa; Chordata; Mammalia; Rodentia; Muridae.
UCAAGCACUCUGAUAAAGUAGCCUUCUUUGC